UACGUAGGGCCCGAGCAUUAUCCGGAAUUAUUGGGCGUAAAGAGCGUGUAGGUGUUCCCCCAAGUCGGUCGUUAAAUCUCAGAGCUCAACUCUGAGGCUGCGAGCGAAACUGUGGGAAUUGAGAUUUACAGGGGCAAGCAGAAUUUCUGGAGUAGGGGUGAAAUCCGUUGAUACCAGAAGGAAUACCAAUGGCGAAGGCAGCUUGCUGGGUAACAUCUGACACUGAGACGCGAAAGCGUGGGGAGCAAACAGG
RNAcentral lists this unclassified non-coding RNA (253 nucleotides) under uncultured Patescibacteria group bacterium. RNAcentral describes it as "contains 16S-23S intergenic spacer region". It matches the Rfam family "Bacterial small subunit ribosomal RNA", at positions 524 to 776 of the family's 1533-position model. The record is from RNAcentral.